AUGAAUGCCAGCCGUUAGUGGGUUUACUCACUAGUGGCGCAGCUAACGCUUUAAGCAUUCCGCCUGGGGAGUACGGUCGCAAGAUUAAAACUCAAAGGAAUUGACGGGGGCCCGCACAAGCGGUGGAGCAUGUGGUUUAAUUCGACGCAACGCGCAGAACCUUACCAGCCCUUGACAUGUCCAGGACCGGUCGCAGAGAUGUGACCUUCUCUUCGGAGCCUGGAGCACAGGUGCUGCAUGGCUGUCGUCGGCUCGUGUCGUGAGAUGUUGGGUUAAGUCCCGCAACGAGCGCAACCCCCGUCCUUAGUUGCUACCAUUUAGUUGAGCACUCUAAGGAGACUGCCGGUGAUAAGCCGCGAGGAAGGUGGGGAUGACGUCAAGUCCUCAUGGCCCUUACGGGCUGGGCUACACACGUGCUACAAUGGCGGUGACAAUGGGAUGCUAAGGGGCGACCCCUCGCAAAUCUCAAAAAGCCGUCUCAGUUCGGAUUGGGCUCUGCAACUCGAGCCCAUGAAGUUGGAAUCGCUAGUAAUCGUGGAUCAGCAUGCCACGGUGAAUACGUUCCCGGGCCUUGUACACACCGCCCGUCACACCAUGGGAGUUGGCUUUACCUGAAGACGGUGCGCUAACCAGCAAUGGAGGCAGCCGGCCACGGUAGGGUCAGCGACUGGGGUGAAGUCGUAACAAGGUAACC
RNAcentral lists this ribosomal RNA (694 nucleotides) under uncultured Bradyrhizobium sp. RNAcentral's name for it is "bacterial SSU rRNA". It matches the Rfam family "Bacterial small subunit ribosomal RNA", at positions 809 to 1501 of the family's 1533-position model. Lineage: Bacteria; Pseudomonadati; Pseudomonadota; Alphaproteobacteria; Hyphomicrobiales; Nitrobacteraceae. The record is from RNAcentral.